This is a long non-coding RNA of Populus nigra (black poplar), 1211 nucleotides long. RefSeq lists it as uncharacterized. The transcript has 3 exons. Lineage: Eukaryota; Viridiplantae; Streptophyta; Magnoliopsida; Malpighiales; Salicaceae. The record is from RefSeq and is a predicted model, not a curated record.
UUAAGGAGGAGCCAGCCCAUUUUAGCUGAUAUCAACAGGAUUCAUAAUCUUCUCACUUGUAUCACAAGUCGAAUGACUAAGACUCUAAGAGGGAGAAUUUUUCAUGCAGUUGAUUUUAAUGAAAAGAGGACAGGUUAUACAUUCAGGAAUGCUCCGUCACCAUUCAUGUUCGUCAAAGGUCAAUGAUAACUAUAAUCCUGCAACGUGGAUGUUGGAGGUUAAUUCUGCAUCAAUGGAAUCAGAACUUGGAUUAGAUUUCGCAGAACUUCACAAGGAGUCUCUCUGUACCUGGAGACAUCUGAGUGGACCUCCACCACGUUCAAGAGGCCAGCAGUUUUCCACAGGGUAGACGGGAGCGGUUUCCAGCAUGCUUGUGGAAGCAACACUUGUCCUACUGGAAAAGUCCUGUGUACAGCUUGGCAUGAUUCAUCUUCAUGAUCGUUUCAUCGCUGUUGUUUGGAAUAGCCUUUUGGCAUAAGGGAAGGAAAUGCUAGUUCAUCUUUCCCUUCAACUUAAAUCAGAAAAGCAGUAUCAAUUUAAGAGCUUAUGAAUUCUCUUUCCUCUGUUCUUGUAGCGCAGGUUCAACAUCACUUUCAUCAGCACGAAAGUGUCGUUUACUUUUCAUAUUAAAAGUUACAUGAUUAGCUGUCACAUAAUGUUCCAUAUAUAUGAUAAUACAAGGAAUUCUGCAGGUGACUGUUGAAAUACCAUACGUACUACUGCAAGCAAUUCUGUACGUAGCGAUCACAUAUCCAACAAUUGGGUACUGCUGUAUUAGAAAUUAGUGUCCUGUAUUAGAAAUUUGUAACUAUACUAAUUAUGCGCAGAAAAUUCGCAAGUGAUGGAUUUGGUGGUAUUACCUCUGCCCCACAUCAUGAUCCUUAAAUGGUUUUCUCACAUCACAACAUGGAGAAAUUCACAAGGAAAUCUUCAUGUUUGGGGUGCUUAAGACAGUCAGUUCCUUUCUACAAGAUUGUUGUGGCUUUCGACAUGAUCAAUUGGGCACUGUGGCUGUUCUUCUUGUUGUUUUCCCAGUUGCUUUCGCAUUUCUAUUCGCAUAUUGCAUCAGGAAAUUAAAUUUUCGGAGGCGAUGAAUGAAGAUCCAACCAACCAUGUUCGCCUCUCAAAGAUUUUCCUGCAUAAGCAAAAUUACUCGGAUAACGAUCAUAUUCUGACGAAACAUGAUAUCUGAAUAUAAAUAAGAAUUUAUA